AACGAACGCUGGCGGCAGGCUUAACACAUGCAAGUCGAGCGCCCCGCAAGGGGAGCGGCAGACGGGUGAGUAACGCGUGGGAACGUACCUUUUGGUUCGGAACAACUCCGGGAAACUGGAGCUAAUACCGGAUAAGCCCUAACGGGGAAAGAUUUAUCGCCGAAAGAUCGGCCCGCGUCUGAUUAGCUAGUUGGUGAGGUAACGGCUCACCAAAGCGACGAUCAGUAGCUGGUCUGAGAGGAUGAUCAGCCACACUGGGACUGAGACACGGCCCAGACUCCUACGGGAGGCAGCAGUGGGGAAUAUUGGACAAUGGGCGCAAGCCUGAUCCAGCCAUGCCGCGUGAGUGAUGAAGGCCUUAGGGUUGUAAAGCUCUUUUGUCCGGGAAGAUAAUGACUGUACCGGAAGAAUAAGCCCCGGCUAACUUCGUG
This 431-nucleotide ribosomal RNA is filed under the name uncultured bacterium. Its description in RNAcentral is "partial 16S ribosomal RNA". It matches the Rfam family "Bacterial small subunit ribosomal RNA", at positions 29 to 507 of the family's 1533-position model. The record is from RNAcentral.